This 593-nucleotide long non-coding RNA is filed under the name Coffea arabica (coffee). Its description in RNAcentral is "long non-coding RNA (CARA_LNC000420)". Lineage: Eukaryota; Viridiplantae; Streptophyta; Magnoliopsida; Gentianales; Rubiaceae. The record is from RNAcentral.
GCGAUGAUGCUGAUGAAAGGGAAGUAGCUGUCAAAGUUCCCAUUGCAGCUUCUUUAAUGGCAAUAGUUUGUGACUCCCCCAGGUUUCAAACAGAGGUUGUCUUGAUGGAUGUAUAUACAGCUGAAAGACGGAGCUGAGUGUGUGUGUGUCGUUUUUGGCUUGUGGGGAUAGUACGAACUUCCAGACAAAGACUGAAAGAGCCCCCAUCAUUGAAACUGUUAAUUUUUGGGUGCAUCAGCUGCUAAUUUUGCGAUGAUGCUGAUGAAAGGGAAGUAGCUGUCAAAGUUCCCAUUGCAGCUUCUUUAAUGGCAAUAGUUUGCGACUCCCGCACGUUUCAAACAGAGGUUGUCUUGAUGGAUGUAUUUACAGCUGAAAGACGGAGCUGAGUGUGUGUGUGUGUGUCGUUUUUGGCUUGUGGGGAUAGUACGAACUUCCAGACAAAGACUUGGCCACAUUAUUAUGUACUAGGUAUUCUGCCCUGACGCUAUGCGUCAGGUAGGUAGGACCUGGUAAUAGGAAAACAAGGGAAGGAAAAAACACUGGCCAGAGAAAAGCUAAGAAGAAGAAUGAGGAACGGGAAAAACACACCUGGU